Molecule: ribosomal RNA, 254 nt
Filed under: uncultured bacterium
Lineage: Bacteria
Description: partial 16S ribosomal RNA
Rfam family: Bacterial small subunit ribosomal RNA
Source: RNAcentral
UACAGAGGGUGCGAGCGUUGUUCGGAAUUACUGGGCGUAAAGCGCGCGCAGGCGGCUCUUUAAGUCUGAUGGUCAAAUGCCGGGGCUCAACCCCGUGCCCGCCAGGGAUACUGGAGAGCUGGAGACACGUAGAGGCAAGCGGAAUUCCGGGUGUAGCGGUGGAAUGCGUAGAGAUCCGGAAGAACACCGGAGGCGAAGGCGGCUUGCUGGGCGUAGUCUGACGCUGAGGCGCGAAAGCGUGGGGAGCGAACAGG